This 600-nucleotide ribosomal RNA is filed under the name uncultured bacterium. RNAcentral describes it as "bacterial SSU rRNA". It matches the Rfam family "Bacterial small subunit ribosomal RNA", at positions 879 to 1482 of the family's 1533-position model. The record is from RNAcentral.
AGUACGGUCGCAAGAUUAAAACUCAAAGGAAUUGACGGGGACCCGCACAAGCGGUGGAUGAUGUGGAUUAAUUCGAUGCAACGCUAAAAACCUUACCUACCCUUGACAUGCCACUAACGAAGUAGAGAUACAUUAGGUGCUCGUAAGAGAAAGUGAACACAGGUGCUGCAUGGCUGUCGUCAGCUCGUGUCGUGAGAUGUUGGGUUAAGUCCCGCAACGAGCGCAACCCUUGUCUUUAGUUGCUACGCAAGAGCACUCUAAAGAGACUGCCGGUGACAAACCGGAGGAAGGUGGGGAUGACGUCAAGUCCUCAUGGCCCUUAUGGGUAGGGCUUCACACGUCAUACAAUGGUGCAUACAGAGGGUUGCCAACCCGCGAGGGGGAGCUAAUCUCAGAAAAUGCAUCGUAGUCCGGAUCGUAGUCUGCAACUCGACUACGUGAAGCUGGAAUCGCUAGUAAUCGCGGAUCAGAAUGUCGCGGUGAAUACGUUCCCGGGUCUUGUACACACCGCCCGUCAUACCAUGGGAGUGGGUUUUGCCAGAAGCCGUUAGCCUAACCGCAAGGGGGGCGACUGCCACGGCAGGGUUCAUGACUGGGGUA